AGGAUGUGGUGGGGGCCAUGAAGGGUUUAAGCAGAAGAGGGACACAUCACAAUCGAUGGGUCGUCUGGGCAGCUGUGGGGUGCACAGACGCGGGGCACCUGCAGGCAGGAACAGUCAGGAAGCUGUUUUCAUUAGUCUAGGCCAGAAAGAGCUAUGAGUUCCUCGCAGUGGCCACAGGGUUAGAGAAGCGAAGAUGGCUCCUCAAGACUUAGAACGCUCUUAAGUCGCUAACCCAUGGGGUGCGGCAGUGGGGGACAGGGCGGGGUCUAAGUUAAAGGCAAGCAGCCGCGCGGCGGGGCUGCCUGCAGACCGCUCCCGCUUACUCGCACCUCUCGGCCUCUGUGGCAGCUCCGUGCUUUUCCUGGGCGUCUCUCUCCUCCCCUGUUGCCCUCUUUUCUGGCUCAGAUCACCUCCGCGGUUUCACUUCUUCAUCUUGCUUAAAGGCCUUGUAGAGGUGGCAGGUUAUCUGGGGCUGCAGCCUGAACAUAGGAAGUCCUCGCCCAGCUUUGUCUAGACGGCUGAGAUCCCCGGCCCGGGCGGAGGCCCCUUGGGCCCCUCUGGGUCCUUGACAUCGUUCGUGGAGCCUCAGCAGGUCUGUCCCCCGGGAAGCCAAGGUGGGACAUCAGCCUGGCGGCUGGCCAAGUCAUGGAGAACCGCCUGCCCAUCUUUGAGCCAUAACACUCACGCUGGAAGUCAACAAGGGAAAUGGAAAGGCAGAGACCAACCUCCUCCGCGGGCACGCGCCCUGGGACCCAUGCCAGCGCGCAUGCGGCUUCCGGGCCUCUGCUUUCCAAAGGCCCAGGAGAGCGAGGCUCUGCGACUGCCCCCAGGGAGAGAGCCCAAGUACAGGAUUUCCAGGCUCCCUCUUCUCAACGUGCGCAGCUUCUUCCUCCAGCACCAGAAUUGGGAACCGCAAUAUCUUUCUGUUGGGCAGCGCUGUUCCAGCCACUGUGUUUGUGCAACAAUGCAGCGGGCUGUCUCACCAGGCGGUCAGCCUCCCCUCACUGGAGAUGUUAACGAAAGGCAUUGGUAAUAGACUUCUUGUAGCAAGAUGGAUGAACUCCGUAAUCCCUCCAGCUCUGACUCAACCAUGGUUCCCAGUCAGUGCCUUCAAAUAUGAAUAGAUGGUACAGGAAAAAAAGAUUGAUGAUCAACUUAACACGGGAAAUUCUUGAUUGAAAAAAAGUUGAGUUCCUUCGUUCCAAGUCUUCUCAGAACCUUCUAGACACAAAAGUGCACCAUGGUUUUUGUGACGGGGACACUGUCAGAGGCAUUCCCCAUAUUAAACCGGUCACAGAGCCUUCUUUUCCCAGAGCAUGACCAGGAAAUAAUGUAUGUUUAAGUUCCUUCCUCGAGAACUACUGUCUUCAAGGUCUCAAAAGAACGUGGGUUCUUUGUCAGCACUGAGUUCAAAUUUUGGCUCAAAUCCUAGGUGACCUCAGACGUAUUACUUGACCUUCAUGAACUAUAAAAUGAGUGGAAGACUAUCACCUGUCAGUAUAGCUUGGAGGGUGACAUUUAAAAAGCACAUAGAAAAUGUAGCGCCGUGCCGGAUGCAAGCUCAGAGAAGAAGGUACUGUUGGCCAGACCGCGUCACAGAAGAGGAAACACGGGCCACAGAGGGCUCGCCUGUGUGCCUCUGAUCACACAGCUGGGAAGGCACUGAGCUGGAGUUCAGCCCCAGGCAGCCUUGCUCAGACCCCACCCCUCAGCCACUCUGUUCUGAGGGUUUGGGGCACCUGCCUGGGCGUGCAGGAGAUGAGACUGGCCACAUAAGCAGGAAUAAGGUCCGAAGGGUCUUCCUUUCUUCACAAGGCCUUAGAUGUUCUUGAUCCAAGGACCCUGCACCUCUUGGGAUCCGUGAAAGUAACAGUGCCGUGGUGCGUGUGUACAUGUGUGUGUGCACAUGUGUGUGUGCGCAUGCUGAGGAAGGCCAUCUGCCUUUCUCUAUAAGGAGGCCGUAUGAGGAAACGAUGCAGCAACUUUGCUUUUGACUGGACCUGGAUCUGCUCGCUAUAGGAACAGUGGGUGUCGGACGCUCAGCGCAUGCUCUUGGUUUCGGCGUCAGUACUUGAAUCCUUGUUCAUUUUCUGCAUUCCCUCCCCAGACUUGUAAGUCCAUGAGGACAGAGCUCUUGUCUGCCUUCUUCUCCAUCAUCUCCAGUACCCAGCACAGUGCUUGGCACAUAGUAGUUACUCAAUAAAUAUUUGUUGAAUGAA
RNAcentral lists this long non-coding RNA (2219 nucleotides) under Equus caballus (horse). RNAcentral describes it as "lncRNA (ENSECAG00000051602.1)". Lineage: Eukaryota; Metazoa; Chordata; Mammalia; Perissodactyla; Equidae. The record is from RNAcentral.